Molecule: ribosomal RNA, 435 nt
Filed under: uncultured bacterium
Lineage: Bacteria
Description: bacterial SSU rRNA
Rfam family: Bacterial small subunit ribosomal RNA
Source: RNAcentral
UCGAGGAUCUUCGGCAAUGGGCGCAAGCCUGACCGAGCGACGCCGCGUGCGCGAUGAAGGCCUUCGGGUUGUAAAGCGCUGUCGAGGGGGAGGAAAGCCCGCAAGGGUCUGACCUAUCCCUGGAGGAAGCACGGGCUAAGUUCGUGCCAGCAGCCGCGGUAAGACGAACCGUGCAAACGUUGUUCGGAAUCACUGGGCUUAAAGGGCGCGUAGGCGGGCGGCCAAGUCAGGGGUGAAAUCUUUCGGCUCAACCGGAAAAUUGCCUUUGAAACUGGCUGUCUCGAGGGAGGUAGGGGCAUGUGGAACUUCCGGUGGAGCGGUGAAAUGCGUUGAUAUCGGAAGGAACGCCGGUGGCGAAAGCGACGUGCUGGACCUCUUCUGACGCUGAGGCGCGAAAGCUAGGGGAGCGAACGGGAUUAGAUACCCCCGUAGUCC